UUAACAAGAAAGCAAUAAAUGAAUAUGUGAAAUUGCAACAUGAUGACAAAUGUUUAUUUGUUAUAACGUGACAUGUUUAUUUUCCACCAUGAUAAAUAUUCUAGGAAAAAAUAAGGCAAGAUAAAAGAAUGGGGGCAGUGGUAGGGUUUCGAUUACAAUCAUCAAGACGGGACUUUGGGGCAGAGGCUUUAAAAAAGUGAAAACAAAAGGGCUGGGGAAAAGUGUUCCAAGACAGAAGGAACCCCCCCGGGCAAAGGCCCCAAGGCGGGUGCAAGAGAGUCAAAUUCUGGACGUUCCAACUCGGAGGCCUGCAGCUCAGGCAUGUUUCAGUUCCAGCUCAGACCCAGACUGGACUCUCUUCCAGAAUGACUGAUUUGCUGGCCUUUCUGUCUCCCCGCCUCAGCCCUGCAGACUCUUCCCCUCUGCACACUGCCCCCCGCCCCCACCGGGGGCAUCGCAGGGGUCAUGAGGGAAGACUGCAGCCUGGAGGCUGACAGGACUUGCCUCCUCCUCUGUCGCAUCACCUGGGGUGACCCUUCGCCUUGGCAAUGGCUGUUGGGACGGGUUCCCAGGUUCGACCCUGCUCCCCGGCCUCGUGCUUCACUCGUGUUGCCUGGUUUCCCAGCCAUGCCUCCCUUGCCUGCCCAGAUGCCCAUCGCCCAGGAAACCAACCCCCUGCACAAAUUCCUCUUCGUUAGCAUAACUGGUGUUGCUUCUUAUUCCUGGCUGGAGCUUGACUGAUAAAGGGGCCAGAGAGAACUUUCCUGAAGUCACCAACCACGUUUUAUUUGGCUCCGAUUGCAAGCACUCAGCACAAUCCCAGCAGGUGACAGUGCCCAAACAAGGAAUCUUCCAUCCCUGAAAGGCAGGAAAUAUACCCCAAAAAGAGGACUCCGGUGCCCACUAUGUGUUCAGUUAAUGAACAAGUAAAUGAACUGAUCGAGUAAGAGCAACUCAGAACGGACAGAGGCGUAGAGACCUUCACCUGCUGCCUUGUUCACCUGCCGCCUUGUUCACCUGCUGCCUUCACCUGUCACCUUCACCACCUGCUGCUUUCACCUGCCGCCGUUGCCUACUGCUUGCUUGACAGUAGGUGAGCCUUUGGGCCAGGUCACUUGUGAUGCAAAUAAACUCUAAUUGGACCCCAA
Molecule: long non-coding RNA, 1148 nt
Organism: Neofelis nebulosa (Clouded leopard)
Lineage: Eukaryota; Metazoa; Chordata; Mammalia; Carnivora; Felidae
Exons: 2
Source: RefSeq, a predicted model, not a curated record